GAGGAAAAGAAACCAACAGGGAUUGCCCCAGUAACGGCGAGUGAAGCGGCAACAGCUCAAAUUUGAAAUCUGGCACCCGCCCGAGUUGUAAUUUGCAGAGGAUGCUUCUAGGCAGCGGCCGGUCUAAGUUCUUUGGAACAAGACGUCACAGAGGGUGAGAAUCCCGUACGGGACCGGCUGGCACCUUCCACGUAGCUCCUUCGACGAGUCGAGUUGUUUGGGAAUGCAGCUCUAAAUGGGAGGUAAAUUUCUUCUAAAGCUAAAUACCGGCCAGAGACCGAUAGCGCACAAGUAGAGUGAUCGAAAGAUGAAAAGCACUUUGGAAAGAGAGUUAAACAGCACGUGAAAUUGUUGAAAGGGAAGCGCUUGCAACCAGACUUGUCGGCGGCGUCCCCCUGGUCUUCUGCCCAGGGAGCAGCCGCCGGUAGGCCAGCAUCGUCCGGGGCCGCCGGACAAAGGCGUCGGGAAUGUGGCUCCCCUCGGGGAGCGUUAUAGCCCGGCGCGCAAUACGGUGCGUCCCGGGCGAGGUCCGCGCUUCGGCAAGGAUGUUGGCGUAAU
RNAcentral lists this ribosomal RNA (558 nucleotides) under Mycophycias ascophylli. RNAcentral describes it as "LSU rRNA". It matches the Rfam family "Eukaryotic large subunit ribosomal RNA", at positions 53 to 635 of the family's 3401-position model. Lineage: Eukaryota; Fungi; Ascomycota; Dothideomycetes; Capnodiales. The record is from RNAcentral.